CAGUCAUUGGACAUGAAGUGAAUGGGUCAAAUGGACUUGUCUAAGUUCCGACCCAGGAAAGUCCCCGGGCCACUAAUCCGCAGAGAUGCGGCCUCGGUAACGAGAGAAUCGUACGGGUCGGAGAGGCACAAUCAGCUGAGACGCAUGUGUGGAGCUUUCGUGGUUUCUCUGACCGACGAUAACAUGGCCGUGAAACACAGUUAUUCACUUGGUCUUUGACCGGGACACAACUGAACGGGGCUUACUGUUCCAAUGACA
Arabis alpina (gray rockcress) is the source of this 258-nucleotide non-coding RNA. Lineage: Eukaryota; Viridiplantae; Streptophyta; Magnoliopsida; Brassicales; Brassicaceae. The record is from Rfam.